Molecule: long non-coding RNA, 1918 nt
Filed under: Oryza sativa Indica Group (long-grained rice)
Lineage: Eukaryota; Viridiplantae; Streptophyta; Magnoliopsida; Poales; Poaceae
Description: lncRNA OsMH63_01G037120
Source: RNAcentral
AUGGCGGUUCCUGUCAAUACCAAUAACCAAGAGGAGGAAGGUUGUAAUCCUUCCUCAGGCAAUGAGCUUGAACAAUUAGAAUCAGAUUUUUGUGAUGAAGCCAAUAACAUUGAGCUUGCUAAGGCCUUUUGGUAUAACAAGAGUGAAUUGGAGCAAUCAGCAAUUCUAUCGGUUGAGAUUGAGGAAUUGGAGAUGACUUAUUAUAGGGGCUGUAUACCCCCUUUUGAGCUGCAUCAAGUUCCUUUAUUAUCUGAUGCCAUCAGCUUCAUACAAGACACAAAAUCCUGGUUAUAUUGGGUUUGUCCCAAUUGUGAGAGGAUGUUUCUAGAUUCUGAAGGCUUCUUGUUGCAUCUCGAGAAUGAACAUCUACCACAACUGCCUAGAUCUGAGCCAAUUAUACCUAGGAGAAUAUCUGACAAUGAUGUAAGGGGAUUAAAAACCUUUAGUUGGCUUCCAGGCAACAUGUAUAUGAGAGGAGGAGUGGAUGACACUAAUUUUGAAGAUACCGAGAUAAGGAAAACAAUCAUGCAGAAGAUUCAGGAAGUGGUUUUCAAGCUCAUAGAUCUAAGGAUCCUUUCUGCUGAUCUUACAAAUAAAAUUGACCACGUUUUCAAGACUUCGGGUGGGAAGAAGAGCCUAUCUGUUGCCCGCAUUGCAUUUCUAGGUGCAGAAGAUCUUGAAAUGAUCUAUAAAUUGCUGCAUCAGUUGUCGUUAGCCAAUACAUGGGAACUUGAGCAGAGUCCUGAGUUUGAUGAAGAUGGGAGUGAUUCUUUUGAUGCUGUUACUCUCGUUCAAGAUACUAACACCCUCUGUCUGGAUACUGACUAUAUUGAUGCUAAGAUAUUGAGGAUUGAUUCUGAAAUUGAGUACAUGAAGAAAAUGUUGUCAGAAGUCUGUGCAUUUGAUUACCGUCCUGCCAUCAUGCCUAUUUUGAAGGCCUACAUACGGGAUAAGUUGAGAAAGGCUUCCUCUUGUGGUGUCUUUGAUCAAGAUGAUAGAUAUGCAGAAUAUAACAAGAAUUUGGACUCUGUCAAUCAAUUUCAGAUGGACCAGCAAGCUGGGAGAAAUCAAAAUUUUGUUGAUGAAGGCAACAGUUCUAGGACCAAGGUCGAGAAAGCACGGUGCUUUGUUUCAGAUCAUCAAGCCUCUAUUAUAGAACAAACGGGAACAUGCACAAUAUCAGAGGAACCAAGUGCUCAGAUUGACAUCAGCUGCACCUACUGUGGAGAGAUAGUUGAGGAAAAUUCAACAAUUGUGGAGAAAGAGGAGGAGAUAGUUGAGGAAAAUUCAACAAGUGUGGAGAAAGAGGAGUGGGAAGUGGUCAUGGAGGCUAUGAAGAGGUUGGUGGCAUCUCUGCCUCCAGAGAUGGUUCAGUUGCCAGGGACUAUGUCAGAAGAUCCAGCAAGCAAGAUUGCCUUUCAUAUAAUACGUGAGUUAUCUUUUCGCCAGGCUAUUAAAAGUGUGAAUGGGCAAAGAAUGGACACCAAGGCUGUGGAUACUGGUCCAGGUGCUCUUGGAAUUGCCAAGCCAGCAUCAGACGAAAAGGUCAAUGCAGCAUCAGACAAAAAGGGCAAUUCUGGAAGGCCCAAGAGGAGGAUGCUUAAGAGCUUGAUAUGGGCUCUGCUCUCAUCAUUUGCUAGCCACCUGUCAAUGCUACUGCUAUCCAGAUACUUGUUUGGAGGUGAAGAGGGAAAGGAAUCAAAAGAUUGCUGUCACAUAACUAGAGAGAAGAAAAACAGAGAGUUCAAAAGUGACACAAGUCAUGAUCUGUGUGGAAUCCAAUGUCAAGCUCAUUUGAGCGCAUUCCUGAAAGUAAGUUUGACUACCUUUUUAACAUAUUAUGAUUCCUUUGCAGUUUUCAAAGCAUACUCAUUUUGCAUUGAAGUUUCAGAACUAAUGAAAGCUUGAGUUAAUGAAA